ACUAUCCUCCUGCUUCGGCCUCCCAAAUAGCUGGGACUCCAGGUCUUUCCGUAAGACUGGUUCCUGACAGUUCUCGUUAGAACAAGGCACAGCUUGAAAUAAGCACUGCUGAAGGUGGUCCUGCAACAGAGAACAACAGAAUUCUGGCUUUCUUCCAUCAAGAUAAUAUGGGAAGAGCACAGGAACUGGAGUCAGAAGACUUGGGCUUGGGUCCUUCCCCAUCCCUGCGUGCUGUGAGAUCUUUCAAAACACUUUUGAGCCUCAGCUUGC
Long non-coding RNA from Carlito syrichta (Philippine tarsier), 270 nucleotides. RefSeq lists it as uncharacterized. The transcript has 3 exons. NCBI's taxonomy places the organism in Eukaryota, Metazoa, Chordata, Mammalia, Primates, Tarsiidae. The record is from RefSeq and is a predicted model, not a curated record.